This 1267-nucleotide long non-coding RNA is filed under the name Gossypium barbadense (sea-island cotton). RNAcentral describes it as "long non-coding RNA (GBAR_LNC012475)". Lineage: Eukaryota; Viridiplantae; Streptophyta; Magnoliopsida; Malvales; Malvaceae. The record is from RNAcentral.
GCCGAAAAGAGGAAGGACUAAAUGGGUAAAUAUACCCUUAGUCCAAAACACACGGACCCUCAGGUAUCGGGUCGGGUCUCGCACGGGUCACGUGAAACGGCGUCGUUUUGGCAUUAGGAAGGCCGACCAAAACGACGUCGUUUUGAUCGGCUAUUUAAGGCAGAUUUUUUUUUAAAUAUUUCACUUUUCACUUUGCUUCAAAAAAACAUUUCGUUCUUCUCUCAUUUCUCUCUGCAGGUGCCUUGGUCCGGCCAGCACUCCGGUGAAACGCCACCGUUCUCCGCCGCGUCUUCGCCGCCGGCGACCGCCGUGCACGGCGGUCGGAGGUAAAAAUCUUCCUCUUUUUUUCGUUUUAAAGUGUAUUUAUAAUAUAUGUGUGUAUGUGGGUAAAUAGGUUUUAAAAAAAAAAGAAAGAAAAAAACGAUAAUAAUCAAAUAAAAUCACCUUGGGCUAUUAGAUUUUGAUUCUCUGUUUGGACUAUUUUCUGCUUUUGAUAUUGCUGUGGUCUCUGUUCUUGCUUGUGUGUUUAAAAUCAAAUAUUGCUUUUUUAUGUAUCACCAAAUGCCCAAUGUUACAAGGGUACUAGAUUUGGCUUUUUAUAGCCAUUUUACAUGAUUUCUAUACUAUUAUCUGUCCCCUCUUCUUUUAAUCUUUGCAGGCAAGUGGGCGGUGCUGACAUGGGCAGUGGAGCAGGUGGAGCAGGUGACUGGCAUGGGGCGAUGGGACGUCGGCGGUGCCUAGGGUGAAUAGAUUAGGGUUUUUUCUUUUUCUUCUUUUUCCUAAUUUUGGAUUGUAUUUGGGCUGGUGGGUUUGGGUUUAAUUCUUUAAGGUUUGGGCUGAGGUAAUUGGGUUAGGAUAGGUUGGGUUUUGGGUGGUGUUAGGUUUUAUUUUAGUUUUGGUAUUCAGGCUGUGAGGUUAUAUUGGGCCUGGAUAAGGAUUGAGUUGUACAUCCAUUAUGAUCGUUGUCGUUACACACUUUAAUCAUUUUAGUCACCAUAGUUACAUACUUUCUAUCAUUUUAAUUACUUGCCAUUACUUUCUACUGGAUCUUUUGGUUUACCUCUUCGUAUGAUUAGUAAGCUUUGUUGAUCUAUUUGGUUUUAUUUGUUGUUUUUAAGAAGUCUAAUUUAUGAUUUUAGUUUAAUCCUUCCACUUUGAUUUGAUAUGGUCCAGUCCUCUACUUUUGUAAGAUCGUUAGCAAGUCUAAAUUGAUAAUACUACCAUUAAAAUAAUUAUGUAAAUAUUUUUUUAUUGUUAUUUAGUGAUG